AUGACCUUUACAAUGAUUUUGUUUUCAAAAUGGUAUUUGGUUUCGCUGCAUAGCCUACACUUCUGUUGGUGCACAUUCCACUUUGUUCAUCAAUUUUUCUUUAUUAUGGCAGUGCUGUCUGCAAGGGUCUCAGGUUAUUUUAAGUGUUUCUCUACAGCUGUGAAGCAUAAUAAUGAUUUGACAUGUCCUCUUUGUUUGUAAACGUUUUGCCUUAGUUUUUAUUUUGGAGUUCUGUGGUAACUUUAAUUUAUCCGUUACCGUUACCGUAACCGUGUUUCAUCAAAGGCAUGACGAAUGUUACAAGAAUUAUAACCAGCCAAGCACCAUUGGUGUUGAAAAACCUGAAUGGAUUGAUCUGUGUCCAUAAGCCGUCUGAAAGGAGUGUGAAGUCAGUUCGCAAAAUUAUUGCUGCAACAUUUGUAAUGGUAAUCAUUUCAGUUAUUUACACAUAGUAUUAAGCAUGAGGAUUCCGCAAGGUGAUUCUUCAAAGCAAUUUUGUCUUGGAAUCGGGCCUUUAUGAAAACUAAGAUAAGAAAAUUUUGUAUUUUGGUCUGAAAUUUUGUACUGCAGUCAGAUCAGGGCAGUAAAAUUCCAUGAAGUUUCUCUUGAAAUAUUUUCGGAACUCUCAGAAAUUUGUGAAAUAAGCGGUCCUUCCCCAGCGAAUUUUAAGGAUGAGAAGAAAAUAACUAAUUUUACAGAAAAUCCUUGCUGUUUGUUGAUUUCUGUGACUACAGGAAUAGUCGAGUUGUGCAACGUCUUGAUUCUGAAAGAGUUAGGUAUUUACCAAACGCCAUUAUUUCAUUUUACAGGCAUUGAACUUCUUCUUCACAGCUUUGAUGUGGAAAAUGUUGAUUUUGAAUUGUCACAGAUGGCCUCUACUGUUAGAUGUUAUUAGCCAUGCCACUGAGGUACCAUGAUUGUCUCAUCUUUCUAAUUUUUUUUUUUUUUUUUUUUUUUUUUUUUUUUUAACUACUCAAGGCUAAUCCAUCUGCUGUGACAGUUUGAGCAUCCCUACCUAUUUUCAUUUAAA
This 1030-nucleotide long non-coding RNA is filed under the name Bemisia tabaci. Its description in RNAcentral is "lncRNA ENSSSA3NGG002674". The record is from RNAcentral. Lineage: Eukaryota; Metazoa; Arthropoda; Insecta; Hemiptera; Aleyrodidae.